ACUCUAGAGAUAGAGCUUUCCCCUUCGGGGGACAAAGUGACAGGUGGUGCAUGGUUGUCGUCAGCUCGUGUCGUGAGAUGUUGGGUUAAGUCCCGCAACGAGCGCAACCCUUAAGCUUAGUUGCCAUCAUUAAGUUGGGCACUCUAGGUUGACUGCCGGUGACAAACCGGAGGAAGGUGGGGAUGACGUCAAAUCAUCAUGCCCCUUAUGAUUUAGGCUACACACGUGCUACAAUGGACAAUACAAAGGGCAGCUAAACCGCGAGGUCAUGCAAAUCCCAUAAAGUUGCUCUCAGUUCGGAUUGUAGUCUGCAACUCGACUACAUGAAGCUGGAAUCGCUAGUAAUCGUAGAUCAGCAUGCUACGGUGAAUACGUUCCCGGGUCUUGUACACACCGCCCGUCACACCACGAGAGUUUGUAACACCCGAAGCCGGUGGAGUAACCAUUUAUGGAGCUAGCCGUCGAAGGUGGGACAAAUGAUUGGGGUGAAGUCGUAACAAGGUAGCCGUAUCGGAAGGUG
Molecule: ribosomal RNA, 520 nt
Filed under: uncultured bacterium
Lineage: Bacteria
Description: bacterial SSU rRNA
Rfam family: Bacterial small subunit ribosomal RNA
Source: RNAcentral